UUGUUGCUUAACAUACUUAUUCAUUACAUUUCCAAUAAACGUCAUACAUAUUCAUUAGUUGUCCGAGAAUCGUUUUACAUAAUUCCACGCCUAUUUUUGCAUGCGCAUAACAAGGUGGUAGUGGUCUUUGGUGGUCGUUUUACUUCUUCCAACAAUCUUCAUCACUUACUUGGCCGUUCCUUGAACUCUUGUUCUGGUGGUCUUUGAAGCAUGCACAGUAGCCAAAUGCUUACACCAGCUUAAUUGGUUCGGUAACAGUGCUGACAUAAGUGAGUGAUUUCUCCCUGGCCUUCUAUUUAUCAGUUAACUUAGCUACAGCACCUCCUGAACGUCUGCUAGUUUCAGAUAUACAGUCCUGUUUUGCUUACAGUAAAUUCUGUACAAAGGUCAUAAGGUUCUAAAACUCUGUCAGCUACAACGAUUUAUCUUAUACAAGGAUCCUUAUUAUGUUCUUUUGGUUGGGCUCUUUAGGUUUGGAAAGUUUUGUUGUUACGUCAGCAACCACUAGUCUGGUUUGGGCUGAUUAUUAUGAAAUACCUAAGAUCCUUUCCAUUGCUAUUGUUACAAAGCCACCAAGCUUUUAUUUACAAAGGAUUAUAUUUCAUUUUGUAUGUCUUUAUCUCAGUUAGAAAACUAGAGGAAAUAUGUUCAAAUGUGUCAGUUGCAUAUUCAACAGUACUAUUAAUAUGCCUUAUUGCUGUAUAGUUCUUUCUGCUAAUUUCUUAUUUAUUACUACCUAAUAAAUUUUUUGCAACAAGUAAUGUUGGUUGUUUAUUAUUGCAGCCAGCACUAUGUCUUACCAAGCAGGUGUUAUUACAAAAGAGCAGUAUUUUGUAACAGGCUUAUCUUUGCAAGGUAUGUAGGAAGAUGGCAAGAGAGGUGACUACAAAUCAAGAUUGUGCACCUCAGAAACAGCUCAGGAAUUCAUCAAGAAAACUGGAAAACGUUAGCCAUGGCAAACCAGCACUGAACACGGUAUUUGAGGUGCGGCCUCACCAGUGCCCAGUACAGGGGGAUGAUCACUGCCCUGCCGCUGCUGGCCACGCUAUUGCUGAUACAAGCCAGGAUGCCGCUGGCUGCCUGGGCACAAGCUGGAUCAUGUUCAGCAGCCGCCAGCCAGGCCCGUUUCCGCCGGGCAGCUUUCCAGCCGCUACUCCCCAAGCCCGUGUGCAGGCUGCGCUCAGGAGCGUUGGCACGCCCGGUCCCCACGCGAGCCUAUACCCACGUGUAUCACCCCCGCGCGAGUCCCACACACGCAUGGGCUGCACACGGGUGUCUCCCCCCGCCUGCUGCUCCUGCCCCAGAGCUGUAGCACCGCGCGGCUGCCGCAGCCCCACGGGGGCGAGCGGCGCCUCAGAGGAACGAGGCAGCGGCCACCGAGGCGGUCGCAGCCACACCGAGGAGCCUGGAGCUCCGCCGAGCAGCCCUUCGGGAGCGGGAGGGGCCGCGGGGCACACGCACGUUCGAGAGGACCCGGUAGGGCCGCGCUGCGCCUCGCAGCGGCCCGUCCCGGGGCCGCGCUGCCC
RNAcentral lists this long non-coding RNA (1526 nucleotides) under Strigops habroptila (Kakapo). Its description in RNAcentral is "lncRNA (ENSSHBG00005005817.1)". Lineage: Eukaryota; Metazoa; Chordata; Aves; Psittaciformes; Psittacidae. The record is from RNAcentral.